CAAUCCCCUCCGCCCAGCCUGUUCCACCCGAUGCAGAAACCUCCAUGGCGUCCGCGUCUACCUCGCCCGCCACGAAAAUUUGGAGGCUGCUGCACGGCCAAGGAGAGGUCCUCCUCAGAAGCUGCAGCUGCAGCUGGGCCUGGACGCCGACGACCACGCACAAGGAGACGGCGACCUGGACAUGAUCGUCCAGGAGGAGGAGCUCGCACAACCCGACCCCGACCCUGACCAUGGCGACGCCCACAAAACAAGGUAUACUUUCUUCUGACAUUUCCCGUUUGAGGGAUGUCAUGUGCCAAGCAAAGUCAGGGAUGGGGAAGACUGCUUGUGGUAUUGUCCCACACGAGAGAGCUGGCUUACCAGGUUACUCUAUUCUAUGGAGGUAUUCACAUGAAGAAACACUAAGGGUUUAUUUGCCAUCCUCACUGUGGUGGGCACAACUGGAAGGAUUCUAGCUCUAGCUAGAGAGAAGGACCUUUCUUUGAUGAAUGUGAUGCAUUUCAUUCUUGAUGAGUGUGAUGAGAUGCUAGAGUCACUUGGGGAGAAUUGGAGCUGGAGCAAGUCAGGAGGUAGCGAUGGCUGCCGGAUCCGCCAGGCAGGCUGUGUGGUAGCUUUGUUUUUCGACUCCGUGGGUUUAGCAGGUAAAGAAAGAAGAAGAGCAAGAAGGCUACAGAGAAGGAUCUGCCCUGAUCCUUUCACUUUUUUGCAUUUGAUCUUGUUGGUGCGGUAGUCGGGAAGCGCGACCCAGAGAGACAUCCCAGCAUAUGCAGUGCCGCUUUUAUGUGUAGUAGUACACUUUUUCGGCCCUUGUAAUAUUCAGUAGUACACGUUGUAAAAUCCAUUUGUGUAAUGCUACAGGCUUCGGAAGUUGGUAAAUGGCCAUGUCUGUGAUUUUUGUUCCUAGCUAGCUCGCGUUUCUGUUUGGUAAAUGCGCACGUCAGCGAUAUGUGUAGUACUACCUGUGAGCAAGGUUGGAUCGUGUGCUGUACGAACAACCGUUUGUUGACUGUUGCAAAAAGAGGGAGGGUCAUGGCAAAAUUUUGAGCACUACGGCUAAUUAAACUUGCAUUGACUA
Long non-coding RNA from Lolium rigidum, 1075 nucleotides. RefSeq lists it as uncharacterized. The record is from RefSeq and is a predicted model, not a curated record. The transcript has 6 exons. NCBI's taxonomy places the organism in Eukaryota, Viridiplantae, Streptophyta, Magnoliopsida, Poales, Poaceae.